RNAcentral lists this ribosomal RNA (251 nucleotides) under uncultured prokaryote. Its description in RNAcentral is "partial 16S rRNA". It matches the Rfam family "Bacterial small subunit ribosomal RNA", at positions 525 to 775 of the family's 1533-position model. The record is from RNAcentral.
AAGUAGGGUCCAAGCGGGAAGGGGAAAGAAGGGGCGUAAAGCGUGCGCAGGCGGUUGUGCAAGACCGAUGUGAAAUCCCCGGGCUUAACCUGGGAAUUGCAUUGGUGACUGCACGGCUAGAGUGUGUCAGAGGGGGGUAGAAUUCCACGUGUAGCAGUGAAAUGCGUAGAGAUGUGGAGGAAUACCGAUGGCGAAGGCAGCCCCCUGGGAUAACACUGACGCUCAUGCACGAAAGCGUGGGGAGCAAACAG